GGCGGUGUGGGCUCAGAGUAACGGCGGCCCUGGGCGUUAGGCUUUGCCGAGCGCCCGUAGUUAAGCCCUCGGCAAAGCUCUGCCGGAGGUCAGGCUUUGCCGAGGGCCCGCCAGCCUGCCCUCGGCAACUCCCCUCUUUGCCGAGGGUCUGGAGUGGGCCCUCGGCAAAUUUUUUUUUAUUUUUUUGGAUCCAUGUUUUUUUUUGUGUGGCACACCUACACUAUUCUUAAGUACAUGCCAAAGUUUGGUUCAUUUUGAAAUAACUUUGGUAUAUUUUUUGGAUUUUUUGAAUUUGUUGAAUUUUUCGACAAAUUUCAAAUUCAAACUAUAGGUGCAUU
This 338-nucleotide long non-coding RNA is filed under the name Sorghum bicolor (sorghum). RNAcentral describes it as "long non-coding RNA (SBIC_LNC006141)". The record is from RNAcentral. Lineage: Eukaryota; Viridiplantae; Streptophyta; Magnoliopsida; Poales; Poaceae.